RNAcentral lists this unclassified non-coding RNA (604 nucleotides) under Hevea brasiliensis (rubber tree). Lineage: Eukaryota; Viridiplantae; Streptophyta; Magnoliopsida; Malpighiales; Euphorbiaceae. The record is from RNAcentral.
GCCAGUUGUAUUUAAUUCCCUUGUCUGCAAUUGGCCCAUAUCAUUUGAACAUGUUUCACUGGCAUGUACAAUAUCCAAAUGUGAAAAGUCAUCAUCUCCUGGCCACUGUUCAUUGUUAUGCAAAGAAUUUGGCAUGCUUUGGUUCCUAAUUGCGUUAGAUGCAACACUCUUAUCACAUGAAAUUCUGUCCAAGAAACAAUUCUUCUGGGUCAGAAAAUUCACUUUUGACUCGACUUCAGAUUCCAUCCUGUCCCUAUCUUUGGGUUCAAUAUCAAUCAGAUUACAUGAACCACAAUGAGAAUCGUCACUAGCAUAGUGAAAUGGCAUACUCUUCCCUUCACCGUGGAUGUAAAAUUCUUCACUUUCAUCUUCUUCAAUCAAAGCACAAAGAACUCUCUGGUAUAGUGGAGCACCCUUUUCCAAUCUUCCUGUGCCAAUCUCUCCACAUAAGGAAGCUUUCUUGACUGAUUCUUGGUUAGAGUCAUUACCUUGUCUUUCACCGGAAUAAUCAGACAUUCCUUUAUGCACAACAACACCCAAAAUAUUAUAUUCACCACCAAGCAUCUGAGACAAACUCUCAUCAAGCUCCUCUGCAAAACUUAGC